AGUGAACGCUGGCGGUAGGCCUAACACAUGCAAGUCGAACGGCAGCACAGUAAGAGCUUGCUCUUACGGGUGGCGAGUGGCGGACGGGUGAGGAAUACAUCGGAAUCUACUUUUUCGUGGGGGAUAACGUAGGGAAACUUACGCUAAUACCGCAUACGACCUACGGGUGAAAGCAGGGGACCUUCGGACCUUGCGCGAUUGAAUGAGCCGAUGUCGGAUUAGCUAGUUGGCGGGGUAAAGGCCCACCAAGGCGACGAUCCGUAGCUGGUCUGAGAGGAUGAUCAGCCACACUGGAACUGAGACACGGUCCAGACUCCUACGAGAGGCAGCAGUGGGGAAUAUUGGACAAUGGGCGCAAGCCUGAUCCAGCCAUACCGCGUGGGUGAAGAAGGCCUUCGGGUUGUAAAGCCCUUUUGUUGGGAAAGAAAAGCAGCAGGUUAAUACCCCGCUGUUCUGACGGUACCCAAAGAAUAAGCACCGGCUAACUUCGUG
This 492-nucleotide ribosomal RNA is filed under the name uncultured bacterium. RNAcentral describes it as "partial 16S ribosomal RNA". It matches the Rfam family "Bacterial small subunit ribosomal RNA", at positions 29 to 507 of the family's 1533-position model. The record is from RNAcentral.